This 102-nucleotide ribosomal RNA is filed under the name Periophthalmus magnuspinnatus. Lineage: Eukaryota; Metazoa; Chordata; Actinopteri; Gobiiformes; Gobiidae. The record is from RNAcentral.
UUUCACAGCCAGAUCUUGUCACAUCACAGAAGCUAAGUGAGGUUGGGCCUGGUUAGUACUUGGAUGGGAGACCGUUGGGAAUACCAGGUCCCACAGUGAAAC